GCGGAGCCUGGGCGGGGGAUGGCGGGAGGAGGCAUUGACUGAAGUGUAGAGAUAUGGAGAAAACAGCGCGAUAGCAGAUCCCAGAGCGUUUGGGUGGCAGCGCGAUGUACGUUAGGCUCGAAUUGAAGCCUAACUGCCAGUAGAUCUGAUGGGAGGAAGAAACGAGAGUGGUGGUACACAGCUGGAUACGCAUCCAACAGAACACAAGUGCAGGCGAUCCUCGGCACAAGACUGUGUGGUCUAAUGCUACGCUGUGAAGCCCAUGUAAUGUAAUGAGAGAAUUCCUGAUGAUUUUCAGUGGGAGUUUGUCAGGCCUGUCAAUAAGUGAAGCUCUGAUUCUCUCUUGAUUAGUUCUUUAUCUUCAGAUCAUAAUAUUAAAAAGCUAGGGGGAACAAAGAUAAUCUUUUUGUAGCUCUUUUUCAGUUAGCUUUCACACUGACGGGUUAGGCAGCAGUGAAAAUAUAAACUGCUUUCACUUGUCUCAUCUGUUCUCAUUCAGCCUGUUGCUGUACUCUAUGUGAGGUAUACGUGGUGCAAGUUCUUUGUUGGCAAGACAAAGAAAUAAAUGAGUGUUGCUCAUCUGAUGUUACAUGAAGCUAAUGAAAUACUGAUCACAUGCUUCACCACAUUCACAGCAAAUAAAAGGAAUUUGCAUUUGGAAAUACUUAUGUCGUCUGUCACUGGGAGACAACUCUUCUGAAGGUGCUAUCCCUCAGCAACACUGAGGUAUUUCUGCAGCUUUUAGGAAGGCAAAUAGAAGGUGAACAUUAAAUGGAAAGCAAAAUUAUUGAGGCAGAGACUGGAGAGUUGUGUGCAUUCUGAGCCUGAUGGAGAAACAUCUGGAUUUCAAAGCUGUUUGUUGAGUUCAGUGCUGCUUACUGUAACGAAGGGUAAUCUGCACAAAGAAUGUUUAAGAGCAUGAAACCCCUGUUCCAAAGCAGUGUGAGGCUGCUGAAAUCCCUAGGGUCAUGCAGGGGGAAUUCCUAUACAGAAAAUCAGUUGGUUCAGUGGAAUAAACCUCAUUUCUGUUUCCUUGCUUGGCCUUGCUCAGUUGUGGUUAAAUGAGGAAAGCGGAUGAUAGCCAUCUGGUAAUCUUGCUGCUGACAGGCCCGGCUGGGAGUCCUGGCUUGUCCUCUUACCAGUGCCUCCUGCAGGGACAAGCUGAGCAUUUGGGAACAGAAAUGGAAUGUUCCACAGUUUAGAAAAGGUACAGCAAGAUGGCUGUUCUACCACUGAGUGCUACUGGGAGAGGACCUGCAGCAGUCAGUCUGUUUGCUCAUCUCCACCAUGCUCUUGACUCAGACAGCAAACUACCUACUAUGAA
Molecule: non-coding RNA, 1324 nt
Organism: Meleagris gallopavo (turkey)
Lineage: Eukaryota; Metazoa; Chordata; Aves; Galliformes; Phasianidae
Source: RefSeq, a predicted model, not a curated record